RNAcentral lists this ribosomal RNA (496 nucleotides) under uncultured bacterium. Its description in RNAcentral is "partial 16S ribosomal RNA". It matches the Rfam family "Bacterial small subunit ribosomal RNA", at positions 29 to 507 of the family's 1533-position model. The record is from RNAcentral.
AUGAACGCUGGCGGCGUGCCUAAUACCUGCAAGUCGAGCGAACAGACGAGGAGCUUGCUCCUCUGACGUUAGCGGCGGACGGGUGAGUAACACGUGGAUAACCUACCUAUAAGACUGGGAUAACUUCGGGAAACCGGAGCUAAUACCGGAUAAUAUAUUGAACCGCAUGGUUCAAUAGUGAAAGACGGUUUUGCUGUCACUUAUAGAUGGAUCCGCGCCGCAUUAGCUAGUUGGUAAGGUAACGGCUUACCAAGGCAACGAUGCGUAGCCGACCUGAGAGGGUGAUCGGCCACACUGGAACUGAGACACGGUCCAGACUCCUACGGGAGGCAGCAGUAGGGAAUCUUCCGCAAUGGGCGAAAGCUUGACGGAGCAACGCCGCGUGAGUGAUGAAGGUCUUCGGAUCGUAAAACUCUGUUAUUAGGGAAGAACAAAUGUGUAAGUAACUAUGCACGUCUUGACGGUACCUAAUCAGAAAGCCACGGCUAACUACGUG